Molecule: ribosomal RNA, 405 nt
Filed under: uncultured bacterium
Lineage: Bacteria
Description: bacterial SSU rRNA
Rfam family: Bacterial small subunit ribosomal RNA
Source: RNAcentral
UGGGGAAUAUUGCACAAUGGGGGGAACCCUGAUGCAGCGACGCCGCGUGAGCGAAGAAGUAUUUCGGUAUGUAAAGCUCUAUCAGCAGGGAAGAAGAAUGACGGUACCUGAGUAAGAAGCACCGGCUAAAUACGUGCCAGCAGCCGCGGUAAUACGUAUGGUGCAAGCGUUAUCCGGAUUUACUGGGUGUAAAGGGAGCGCAGGCGGCGCGGCAAGUCUGAUGUGAAAGCCCGGGGCUCAACCCCGGGACUGCAUUGGAAACUACCGCGCUGGAGUGUCGGAGAGGCAAGUGGAAUUCCUAGUGUAGCGGUGAAAUGCGUAGAUAUUAGGAGGAACACCAGUGGCGAAGGCGGCUUGCUGGACGAUCACUGACGCUGAGGCUCGAAAGCGUGGGGAGCAAACAGG